CAGCUCUUGAGAGCAGGUUCCUUAAAGACAAUGAGUAGCCACUGCUGUUUGCCCUGGCCCAUCAAUGAGAAGAUCUGCUCUUAGAGCCCUGCUUUCCUGCUGAAGGCCCUGAAAUCACCUGUGUUCCAGGCCACCUGCUAACAAUAAAUAAUGCUGCCCUGAUGUGGGGAAUUAGCUCAAGUGGUAGAGCGCUUGCUUAGCACGCAAGAGGUAGUGGGAUCGAUGCCCACAUUCUCCAAGCUUUAUUAUUUAGACAUCGUGUCUCCAAACACUCAGGUCUCCAAACCCAAGUUAGUGUCUGAGAACAGGAUGCUGCUUUGGUUCAAGACGUAGGAGCAGCAAUAAUAGAGGGCUGGUGAUGGCUCCCUCUUGGCAUUCAGUAUAGUGUAGAUCUACCAUGUAAUUAAUUCUCUGUUUCUUUGAGGAGCUGUGAAACCAAGGGACAUAUACAACUGCUCUUUUCUCCCUGUUUCUACCUGCAGCUUUGUCCUAAAUGUGAGACAAUUAUGAAAAGUGCAGCGCAGAGCCACUUGGGUAAAUACAGCCCCGGCUUUCUGCUCAGGGGACAGAGUUUGAGGCACUGCAGAGGAACCGGCCAAAGUAUGAGACCCAUAUAUUG
Molecule: long non-coding RNA, 619 nt
Filed under: Homo sapiens (human)
Lineage: Eukaryota; Metazoa; Chordata; Mammalia; Primates; Hominidae
Description: non-protein coding lnc-ABT1-3:7
Rfam family: tRNA (bases 166-238)
Source: RNAcentral